UUACUUAAAGCGUAUGGAGGAUGCCUAGACUGAAGUAAGCGAUGAAGGACGUAGCAGGUUGCGAUAAGCCUCGGGGAGCUGCCAAGCAAGCUUUGAUCCGAGGAUUUCCGAAUGAGACAACUCUUCGCCGAUGAGGCGAAAUCAUUAACUGAAUUCAUAGGUUAAUGAAGCACACCCUGGGAACUGAAACAUCUUAGUACCAGGAGGAAAAGAAAACAAUAGUGAUUCCGCAAGUAGUGGCGAGCGAAAGCGGAACAGCCGACACUCUUUAGCAUUGAUCCAAUAGAAUGUCUCUGGAAAGAGCGACCAUAGAGGGUAAUAGUCCCGUAUAUGAACGAUUGAUGUGGAAAUAGGUGUGUCAAAAAGUAGGGCGGGACCGGAGAAAUCCCGUUUGAAGAUGGGAGCACUAACUUCCAAGGCUAAAUAUUACUUCAGAUCGAUAGUGAACUAGUACCGUGAGGGAAAGGUGAAAAGCAUCCCGAUAAGGGAGAUGAAAUAGUAUCUGAAACCAUACGCUAACAAAGAAUCAGAGCCCCUGUCGUAUGGACUAGACCCGAAGCCAGGCGAGCUACAUAUGAGCAGGGUGAACUCCGAGUAACAUCGGGGGGAGGCCCGAACCCACUAGUCGUUCGACUCUAGGGGAUGACUUGUGUGUAGAGGAGAAAUUCCAAUCGAGCUUGGCAAUAGCUGGUUCUCUCCGAAAUAGCUUGAGGGCUAGCGUUCGGUAAAUGAGCAUGGGAGGUAGAGCUACUGAAUGAGGCCGCGCGGCUUGCCGUAGCGAUCUCAACCAAACUCCGAAUUCCCAUGUUUCUUAUCCGAGCAGUCAGAAAUCCGGCUCUAAGGUCGGAUCUCAAAAGGGAAAAAGCCCAGAUCAUAAUCUAAGGUCCCCAAAUUCAUGUUAAGUGGAAAAGGAAGUAAAGUUUCUCAAACACCUAGGAGGUUGGCUUAGAAGCAGCCAUCCUUUAAAGAGUGCGUAAUAGCUCACUAGUUUAGAGAUUUUGCGCCGAAAAUGUAACGGGGCUAAACAUGAUACCGAAGAUAUGGACUCCAGUGCAUGACACUGGAAUUUUCAAUCAAUGAUUUAAUGACUUAAUUUUUAAAUUUAAUAAAUUAAGAAAUUAGAAAUUGUUUAGAAAUUAGAAAUUAGAAAUUAGAAAUUCCAAUGUUGUGCAUUGGUUUGGUAGGAGAGCGUUCCUUGUGCGUUGAAGCCUAAGGCGUGAGCCGUGGUGGAGCGCAGGGAAGUGAGAAUGUUGGCAUAAGUAACCGCAAUGCACGUGAGAGCCGUGCACCCCGAAAGUCCAAGGUUUCCUGGGCAAUGGUGAUCAUCCCAGGGUUAGUCGGUCCUAAGGCGAGGCUGAAAAGCGUAGUCGAUGGACAACAGGUUAAUAUUCCUGUACUGAAAUAAUAUUCGAUGGAGGGACGCAUUUUAGUAUAUUCUGCGCCUUAAUGGAUUGGCGUAGGGUUUUUAAGGAAGCUUUCUAGGAAAAUCCGGAAAGCAAUAUUCCAAGAAUUCUCUGGAACCCCGACCUCGUGUCGGGGGAACAGAAUAAAGCAAAGUGCCAGGAAAAACUUCUAAGAUUAGUAUUAUUUCAUCCGUACCGCAAACCGACACAGGUGGACAGGGCGAGUAGCCCAAGGGGAACGGGAGAACCUUCGUUAAGGAACUCGGCAAAAAAACUAGACGUAAGUUCGCGAAAUGUCUUUCCUGCUCGCAAGAGUAGGACGCAGUGAAAAUUUC
RNAcentral lists this ribosomal RNA (1738 nucleotides) under Candidatus Moranbacteria bacterium GW2011_GWD2_37_9. Its description in RNAcentral is "bacterial LSU rRNA". It matches the Rfam family "Bacterial large subunit ribosomal RNA", at positions 1 to 1792 of the family's 2925-position model. The record is from RNAcentral. Lineage: Bacteria; Candidatus Moraniibacteriota.